CCGGAAGUUGGGUCUGUGUGGUGGUGGUGGUGGCGGGAGCCGGGGAAUUAAGGUGCUGGGCGAUGGCCAGCCGUGAGCGAUGACCAGGCUUCUGGCCGUGGCGCGCAGAGUUGCUUUGGCCGCCGUGCGCUGCAGCACCCACGGCAGCAGCGGCCUCAGCAUGUUUUAUGCCGUGAGGAGGGGCCGCAAGGCCGGGGUCUUCCAGACCUGGAGCGAAUGUAGAGCCCAGGUGGACCGGUUUCCUGCUGCCAGAUUUAAGAAAUUUGCCACGGAGGAGGAGGCCUGGGCCUUUGUCAGAAAGCCUGCAAGCCCGGAUGGCUCAGAAGGGACAGAAAAUAAGCAUGAACAAGAAUCACAGGUGAAAGUCAACAAGCGACUCCGUGAACCCUCGGAUGGAGAGGAAAACGCAGAGCCCUGUGUGAAGCAUGCGAGACAGAACGCAGAAUCCGUGCCUUCAGUUAACAAAGACUUGUUUUCUUAUAUGGGAGAGUUUGUCGUCGUCUACACUGACGGCUGCUGCUCCAGCAACGGGCGGAGGAGGGCACGAGCAGGGAUCGGCGUUUACUGGGGGCCGGGCCAUCCUUUGAACGUAGGCAUUAGGCUUCCCGGGCGGCAGACCAACCAAAGAGCAGAAAUUCAUGCAGCCUGCAAAGCCAUCGAGCAAGCAAAGGCUCAAAACAUCAAGAAGUUGGUUCUAUAUACGGACAGUAUGUUUACUAUAAAUGGUAUCACUAAUUGGGUUCAAGGCUGGAAGAAGAAUGGGUGGAAAACGAGCACAGGGAAAGAGGUGAUCAACAAGGAGGACUUCAUGGCGCUGGAGCAGCUCAUCCAGGGCAUGGACAUCCAGUGGAUGCAUGUUCCUGGUCAUUCGGGAUUUAUAGGCAAUGAAGAAGCUGACAGAUUAGCAAGAGAAGGAGCUAAGCAAUCAGAAGACUGAACGAAGUAAUUUUAAUUCUUGGAAAAACUUGACAUGAAAAGCCCAAGGAGUCUUUCCUUCUUUCUUACAAGUCAUGUCCCCUUUUUGCUUCAAUGUCCCGAGGUUUGGUUUCCUGCUUCUCCAGUCCGAAGUUGUGUUAGACUGUGUCGUGUGUUGGUCGCCCUGGGUCAGUGUUUGCAGGAGCACACUUUAUGGAGGUGUGCUUGACGGACAGCAAAUGGCACGUAUGUAAAGUGAGCUAUGGAUUCCCCUGUGAAGUCCCCGCCAGAACUGCGUGUCACCCCCCGCCGGGGUUUUCUCAUGCCCCUUUGAAAUCCUUCCCUCCCUGACCCCAUCCCCAGACAACAACCGAUCUACUUCCUGUCACUAUAGAUUAAUUUGUAUUUCCUAGGAUUUUAUAUAAAUAGAGUCCUACAGUAUAAACUCCUUUUCAGUCAGGAGCUUCUUUCACUCUGUAAUUAUUUUGGCAUUCACGCACGCUGUGUCUAUCAGUAGUUCACUCCCUUUUUAUUGCUGAGGAGUAUCCAUUGUAUGGGUAACCACAGUUUGUGCGCCCAUUCUCCUGUUCAUGGAUAUUUGGUCGUCCCCGGUGUGGGGCUGUUGUAAAUAAAGCUGCUGUGAACAUGUA
Leptonychotes weddellii (Weddell seal) is the source of this 1565-nucleotide RNA transcript. It is a transcript of the gene named ribonuclease H1, with no coding region annotated. The record is from RefSeq and is a predicted model, not a curated record. Lineage: Eukaryota; Metazoa; Chordata; Mammalia; Carnivora; Phocidae.